Molecule: ribosomal RNA, 352 nt
Filed under: Eukaryota sp.
Lineage: Eukaryota
Description: SSU rRNA
Rfam family: Eukaryotic small subunit ribosomal RNA
Source: RNAcentral
UUCGUUAACGAACGAGACCUUAACCUGCUAAAUAGCCCGUAUUGCUUUGGCAGUACGCUGGCUUCUUAGAGGGACUAUCGGCUCAAGCCGAUGGAAGUUUGAGGCAAUAACAGGUCUGUGAUGCCCUUAGAUGUUCUGGGCCGCACGCGCGCUACACUGACAGAGCCAGCGAGUACUCCCUUGGCCGGAAGGCCCGGGUAAUCUUGUGAAUCUUUGUCGUGAUGGGGAUAGAUCUUUGUAAUUAUCGAUCUUCAACGAGGAAUGCCUAGUAAGCGCGGGUCAUCAGCUCGCGUUGAUUACGUCCCUGCCCUUUGUACACACCGCCCGUCGCUAAUACCGAUUGAAUGGAUUC